Molecule: ribosomal RNA, 204 nt
Filed under: Forcipomyia bipunctata
Lineage: Eukaryota; Metazoa; Arthropoda; Insecta; Diptera; Ceratopogonidae
Description: partial 16S ribosomal RNA
Source: RNAcentral
AAUUAUUGAAUUUUAAUUUUUAGUAAAAAUGCUAAAAUUUUUAUAAAAGACGAGAAGACCCUAUAAAUCUUGAUUUUAUUAAUUAUAUAUUUUUAUGUAUAAUAAUUAAAAUUUUAUAUUUAUUAAAAUUAUAUUGGGGCGAUAAUGAAAUUUAAUUAACUUUUAUAUUUUUUAAAUGUAUAUUUACAGAUUAAUGAUCCAAUU